GGGGUUACAGCUCAGUGGUAGAGCACUUGCCUCACAUGCAUGAGACACUUGGUUCGAUCCUUAGCACCA
RNAcentral lists this transfer RNA (69 nucleotides) under Marmota marmota marmota (Alpine marmot). It matches the Rfam family "tRNA". Rfam says of the family: Transfer RNA (tRNA) molecules are approximately 80 nucleotides in length. Their secondary structure includes four short double-helical elements and three loops (D, anti-codon, and T loops). Further hydrogen bonds mediate the characteristic L-shaped molecular structure. tRNAs have two regions of fundamental functional importance: the anti-codon, which is responsible for specific mRNA codon recognition, and the 3' end, to which the tRNAs corresponding amino acid is attached (by aminoacyl-tRNA synthetases). tRNAs cope with the degeneracy of the genetic code in two manners: having more than one tRNA (with a specific anti-codon) for a particular amino acid; and 'wobble' base-pairing, i.e. permitting non-standard base-pairing at the 3rd anti-codon position. RNAcentral also lists the same sequence under 1 other name. The record is from Rfam by way of RNAcentral. Lineage: Eukaryota; Metazoa; Chordata; Mammalia; Rodentia; Sciuridae.